UCAGGUAAAAUGAAGAACGUGG
Molecule: non-coding RNA, 22 nt
Filed under: Drosophila melanogaster (fruit fly)
Lineage: Eukaryota; Metazoa; Arthropoda; Insecta; Diptera; Drosophilidae
Source: RNAcentral